Molecule: RNase P RNA, 325 nt
Filed under: Sphingobacteriaceae bacterium
Lineage: Bacteria; Pseudomonadati; Bacteroidota; Sphingobacteriia; Sphingobacteriales; Sphingobacteriaceae
Description: RNase P RNA component class A
Rfam family: Bacterial RNase P class A
About the family: Ribonuclease P (RNase P) is a ubiquitous endoribonuclease, found in archaea, bacteria and eukarya as well as chloroplasts and mitochondria. Its best characterised activity is the generation of mature 5'-ends of tRNAs by cleaving the 5'-leader elements of precursor-tRNAs.
Source: RNAcentral
CAAGUAGUUGGUCUUGUCGCUCCGGCAACGGGGAGGAAAGUCCGGGCAACACAGAGCGCCAGGCUUUGGAAAGCAAAGGUUGGGGUAACCUAACAGACAGUGCCACAGAAAAUUACCGCCUUUCGAGGUAAGGGUGAAAACGUGAGGUAAGAGCUCACGACCGUUGUUGGCGACAGCAGCGGGGGGUAAACCUCCUGGGUUGAAAGACCAUGUAUACCGGUGAAGCGCUGCUCGCGUGUUUCCGGGGGGUAGGUCGCUUAGAUAAAUGACAAGAGCCUUUGGCUUGCCAAGGGUACAGGACCCGGCUUAAAAGACUGCUUCAAUU